CACACACACACACACACACACACAUUUCGUCCUGCGGGAACACAGCCGCUGCGGGAGGAAAGCACGAGUUUCAUCAGAUGAAACAGUAAGAUGUCCAAAAGGUACUCCUUCCCACAGCCUCCCAGGACUGCUACCAGAUACAUGUGACGACUGACAAGAGAUAAGUUAAAAUAAAUAACUGGAAGUAAAUGAAAACAUGGAAACAGUCAAGGAGUCAUAGGACCAAAGAGCAUGAUACUCCAGGCUAGUAAUUUCACUAUUCAAUGCCCUGAGUUUUGUUGCCGUUUCCUAUAUAGGCAGCCUCAGCAAGCCUAGACUGAGUAGCUGAGCUGUGAAACUCAUUGCCAUAAGGUAUUAUAAAGGCUUAAAAAUGAGUAAACUCUAAAGAGACGAAUUCUUGGAAGCCCUGCCACAGUUACUGAAUGCAGUGUCCAGAUGCAUUACCUGGGUGUAUAACAGUAAGGAUGCAGAGUCGACCUGAGUUAAGAUAUGUGCUGUGAGUGAAAAAGCUUGAUUCAGUUUUUCUCCUGAGGAGAAGGUGGCUGCUUCAGUUCUGCUGCACCUCAGGAUGUGUUGUACCUAGGCAAGUCUCACAUCAUUUCAUGUCCUGCUAUCAAAAGUUUCAUUGCCUUUAUGCUACUUAAAAAAGCUAUGUUAAAAUGCACACACAUAUGUAGGCUGAUUAAAUAACCUUUUGUUCCCUAACUCUAAAACAUAUUUUUUUUUCCCUUUGCUACUACGUGGAUCAAGCAGCUCUAGAGUCUAUGAAGUGAGCCUAAUUUAUUCCUGACUUGUGCUGGAAUAAUUUAUGUUCUUGAGCCUUUGCAGAUGUAUAGUCACUAGAGAGCUGCCUGCUUACGGGAGUUUUUACACAUAUUUUGUCUAAAUCAGAGCUCCAAAUGCAAUGUCGGAGAUGCAGGGAGUUUGUGUGGAUUUGUAGCACUCCCUGGAGGACUCUGUGUCUAUAAACCAAUAAACAUUUCACAAUUCUCAGCAAGUGAAGAUUUUCAUAAUUUCUGAUGUAUGCAGUAUUGACCAUGCUUCUCAUUUUAAUUUCAGUAAUAUUCCAUAGGUAAUAAGUAAUUGGAAAAUAAAUUCUUGCAGGUGAACGCUAAAAGCAAAAAUUAGUCUUUCUAUACUUAGCUGCUGCCAUUUUCUUAUUAUAAACUAAAGAGGCGAAACAAAAUAAUCAUUUAUAAACAAAACACAUCUCACACUGGUUGAAAACUACAGUGAGAUGCAGAUAUUUUGUGGCCAAAACAUUCAAAAAGAAGGCAGGAAGAAACAGCCAUCUCAUUUCUAUAUAGAUUGAUUAUUUUUUCUUUGCAUAUGUAGUUUGACCAUCACAGGUUCAGCUGAAAAUAGUUAAUUCUUCAGAAAACUGACUGUGCCAACCUGUAGGCAGAUGUGAAGGUUAAAAUUCCUAAUUGUUGCUCUGAAAUCAGUUGAUACAAAGGAUGAUUAAAUACAGGGUCAAGACUUCAAAUUUAUUCCUUAGUCAGUAAGAUGUUAAUUUGGUAAGAAAGUGACUACAAAAUGUUUUCUGAAAGAGUCAGAACCCAUUGCUGCAUGUGGAGAACUGCAAACAUACCGACAGCAUGUACGGCUGGUGUUUACAGAGGUCUAUGAAUAAUAAAUAAUCUAGUUAAAUAACCAUUGUUAGAGCUAUGCAAACAAGAGAGCAAAUAAAUCAAGACCUCCUGCUCAUGCAUAGAUACCAACCACAGUACUUUUUCAUUUUUUUUUCUUUGUUUUCUUUGUUUGCUUAAAUAGGAGAGACAAAUAGCGGAUGCAGGUGUAAUCAGCUAAAAAUUGUGAAGCUAGUAAGAAGUGUUUUGGAAAAGAUCACCAAGUGGAUCAAUCCCCCUAUCAGAAACAGUCAGCAGGGGAAAGCAGUUUGCACCAGUAUAUGUACCCUGCCAUUCAGACUGUAUCAAUUUGUUUCUGCAACUGGCAUAAUGUGGCACAGUUCAGAGAGAAUCUCACAUAUGACUGCUGACAUACAGACAUACAGUGCUGGAAGUAAAGGAGAUUCAUGAGCAAAAGUGAAAAGGCUGCUUUUUUUUUUUUUUCACUUUUUUUUUUUUUUCUCCUUCAUAUGGGAAUUCAACUGUUUUAUUUUGUAUAGUGUUAUAUGUAAAAUCCAUUCUUUUAAACUGAUAUUACUACAUUCAGUGCUUAUAGUAUUCUGUUUAUUGUUUCUCUGUGUGAUUGUCUAUCUGUGCAGAAUUUCAUAUGAAAAAAUGAAAUACAUGGAUUACAUAUCAAGUACCUGCUUCCUUGCGUUAUCCUAUCCAGAAAUAAUAAUGUUUUUUAUGUUGAAAGAUGGUUGGGAAAAGGUUAAUUCUGUAUCUGGAUAAGUAAGAUACAUUUAUUUCCUAAUUCUGUAUUUCAUUUCUGGGAAUUUCUAUGAUAUAACCCCCUCUACUUGCCUAUCCAGUUGCUGUUUAAAU
Molecule: long non-coding RNA, 2453 nt
Organism: Gallus gallus (chicken)
Lineage: Eukaryota; Metazoa; Chordata; Aves; Galliformes; Phasianidae
Source: Ensembl